GACGAACGCUGGCGGCGUGCCUAAUACAUGCAAGUCGAACGGUUUAGUUCCAAGAGGCUUGCCUUUUGGAACUAGACAGUGGCGGACGGGUGAGUAACACGUAGGCAACCUACCUGUCAAACCGGGAUAACCUCGGGAAACCGAAGCUAAACCCGGAUAAGCUCCUUUUUCGCAUGAAGGGGGAGUGAAAAGGUGCGACCUGAUGACAGAUGGGCCUGCGGCGCAUUAGCUAGUAGGUAGGGUAACGGCCUACCUAGGCGAUGAUGCGUAGCCGACCUGAGGGGGCGUCCGGCCACACUGGGACUGGGAUACGGCCCAGACUCCUACGGGAGGCAGCAGUAGGGAAUCUUCGGCAAUGGGCGAAAGCCUGACCGAGCAACGCCGCGUGAGUGAGGAAGGCCUUCGGGGUGUAAAACUCUGUUGUUUGGGAAGAAGGGAAAGGGUAGGACCCUUUGGUGACGGUACCAAACGAGAAAGCCCCGGCUAACUACGUG
Molecule: ribosomal RNA, 494 nt
Filed under: uncultured bacterium
Lineage: Bacteria
Description: partial 16S ribosomal RNA
Rfam family: Bacterial small subunit ribosomal RNA
Source: RNAcentral